This 1387-nucleotide long non-coding RNA is filed under the name Fukomys damarensis (Damara mole-rat). Its description in RNAcentral is "lncRNA (ENSFDAG00000025036.1)". The record is from RNAcentral. Lineage: Eukaryota; Metazoa; Chordata; Mammalia; Rodentia; Bathyergidae.
GUCCCAUCCCAGAAACCCAGGAGAAAGAUAUCUGGGAGGUUUGCUUUUAAAGCAAGGGAGGUGGGGCUCAGGGCUGGCCAGGGGCGGGGUGGAAGAUGAGGAACCCCAGCUUCAGGGAACACACAGCCCUUCUUGCAGUCCAGCCUUCCAGUGGGAAAUGAGGCAGCAUGGGGCACAGAUGGGGAAGAGCCAGUGUGAAGACUGGAGAGUUCCAGGCCGAGCAGCAUACACAGCAACACCCCACACCUGCCUCCAGAGUCGCCUCCAAAACCCUCCGAGCGCUGCGGUGCUAAUCUGUCUCUUCUUGGCUGCCUUCCCUGCAAGCUCCCAGCACAGUGGAGAAGAGAAGCCAAGCUCUGCACUGGUUGUCACUUACCACCCCUUCUCCACCUCCUUAAACUACCCGGACACUUUCUGUUUGUUGUUCCCAUGCCAGCUCAUUUUCUUGUUUGUAGAUUUUUAGUUCCUUUACUUAAUGCCAACACAGUUUGGGGACUGAACAGAGAUAAACAUCACUGCGAUUAGUGGAAAGCCAGCUCUCCUCUGAGUCUUGUCUCCUUGUCUAUAAAAUGGGGCUAAAUUUUUUACCUCAAAGUUUGUGGGUGUUAAGUGAUACAGUACAUGUAGAAGGCAACACUACCUAAUGAUACAAGGAAGAAUAGCCAGGCAGAGUUAUUGGCAUUACCACAGGGCUCUUGGAAAUCCCUGGAACAGUCUGGUUGCUAGAACCACCACACAGAGGAGUGUCUGGCUGAACAUUCUGGUUGCUCACCUCUUGGGCUUGCCUUCCCCCCAGUAUUAAGCAAGAAGUGAAACAUGGCAUCAACUCAGAGAGAGCAAUGUUCUUCAAACUUAACUGUGCAUGCUACUUGCCCGGACUCUUAUCACAGGUGGCUCUGACUCCAGGUGGCUGAUGAGUUUGCACAGAUGCUAAUGCUUCUGAUCCUGUUGGUCUGAGGACCACACUCUGAGUAGCAAGAGAGAAAAUGGUAGAAACUUAUGUGGUUGGUCAGUGAGGAGCAGGAACAGGGACAAUGUCUCCUUGGGCUGUUUUGGCUGGUGGUCUUUAAGGGGGUGGGUGUUUCUCUUUCAGGACUGAAACCCAACAGGUAUAGUGUGGGUUCCUCUAAGUGACCACAAGAUGUCAUAAUGUCAUUAUAUGAAUUUUACCAGAAAGAGUUGAGUCUGGGUGUCAAGUUACUAACCCUUAAGCUGGAAAUGGGAAGUGACAGUUGUCUAAUCAGUUGGUGCUUCAGGGACCAGCCAUGGCCAAAGCUCCGUCCCCUGGGCCCAGGACCAAUGUCAGAGAAAUAGCAACCUCUUUGGUUCGCCCACUUUCUUCCAAUUUGUCUUCAUUAUUGGAGCCACAUGGCCCUAGAAAUGAGAC